CCUCGGAUCAGGUAGGGAUACCCGCUGAACUUAAGCAU
RNAcentral lists this ribosomal RNA (38 nucleotides) under Didymella pinodes (pea foot rot fungus). Its description in RNAcentral is "partial 28S ribosomal RNA". Lineage: Eukaryota; Fungi; Ascomycota; Dothideomycetes; Pleosporales; Didymellaceae. RNAcentral also lists the same sequence under 1 other name. The record is from RNAcentral.